GUAGUCCACGCCCUAAACGAUGUCGACUGGUUGUUGGGGAAGGAAACUUCCUUAGUAACGAAGCUAACGCGUGAAGUCGACCGCCUGGGGAGUACGGCCGCAAGGUUAAAACUCAAAGGAAUUGACGGGGACCCGCACAAGCGGUGGAUUAUGUGGAUUAAUUCGAUGCAACGCGAAAAACCUUACCUACCCUUGACAUGUGCGGAAGGGGGCAGAGAUGCCCCUGUGCCCGAAAGGGAGCCGCAACACAGGUGCUGCAUGGCUGUCGUCAGCUCGUGUCGUGAGAUGUUGGGUUAAGUCCCGCAACGAGCGCAACCCUUGCCGCUAAUUGCCAUCAUUCGGUUGGGCACUUUAGCGGGACUGCCGGUGACAAACCGGA
Molecule: ribosomal RNA, 379 nt
Filed under: uncultured bacterium
Lineage: Bacteria
Description: bacterial SSU rRNA
Rfam family: Bacterial small subunit ribosomal RNA
Source: RNAcentral